This 378-nucleotide unclassified non-coding RNA is filed under the name fungal sp. RNAcentral's name for it is "partial internal transcribed spacer region". The stretch from base 1 to 46 matches the Rfam family "Eukaryotic small subunit ribosomal RNA", at positions 1786 to 1831 of the family's 1831-position model. The record is from RNAcentral. Lineage: Eukaryota; Fungi.
AAGUCGUAACAAGGUUUCCGUAGGUGAACCUGCGGAAGGAUCAUUAACACGUAUCCAAACGUUAACCCCCCUGUGAACCUUUAGUGUGCUCGUACGCUUUGUCAGAGCGUGGCAAUCCCUAGUAAAUCAUCGCCGAACAGUUUUCGAUUUAGGGACUUCCACAAAGAGUGUGCUCGUAGCGCGAGGCAAGUGGCCUGGCAUUCCCAAGCAGUUGGUGUCUGAAAGUGUCACUGGCUGUCUAAGGCGCAGUCACGAUCGUUGGAGGCACCGGGCUCACGCCCCUUAAUCACAACUUAAUGCAUGUCAGACGCGCCUGCGCUUAAUUGUGCGGCGACCAUAAAACUCGAACAACUGUUAACAAUGGAUAUCUUGGUUCUC